Molecule: ribosomal RNA, 441 nt
Filed under: uncultured bacterium
Lineage: Bacteria
Description: bacterial SSU rRNA
Rfam family: Bacterial small subunit ribosomal RNA
Source: RNAcentral
AACGCGAAGAACCUUACCUGGGCUCGAAAUGUAGUGGACUGGGGUAGAAAUAUCCCUUCCUAGCAAUAGGUCGCUAUAUAGGUGCUGCAUGGCUGUCGUCAGCUCGUGUCGUGAGAUGUUGGGUUAAGUCCCGCAACGAGCGCAACCCUUAUCUCCAGUUGCCAUCAUUCAGUUGGGCACUCUGGCGAAACCGCCUCGGAUAACGGGGAGGAAGGUGGGGAUGACGUCAAGUCCUCAUGGCCUUUAUGUCCAGGGCUACACACGUGCUACAAUGGCCGGUAUAAACCGCUGCAAACCCGCGAGGGGGAGCUAAUCGGAAAAAGCCGGCCUCAGUUCGGAUCGCAGUCUGCAACUCGACUGCGUGAAGCUGGAAUCGCUAGUAAUCGCAGAUCAGAAUGCUGCGGUGAAUACGUUCCCGGGCCUUGUACACACCGAGACGAC